AGAGAGAGACAUGCGCGCAUAUCAAUAAGCGGAGGAAAAGAAACUAACAAGGAUUCCCCUAGUAACGGCGAGUGAAGCGGGAAGAGCUCAAAUUUGAAAUCUUAAAGGGUUUCCCUUUACGAAUUGUAGUUUAAAGAAGUGUUUUCUGUUGAGGUUUUGGUAAAAGUUCUUUGGAAUAGGACAUCAUAGAGGGUGAGAAUCCCGUAUUUGACCUUUACUUUCAACUUUGUGAUACACUUUCAAAGAGUCGGAUUGUUUGGGAAUGCAGUCCAAAAUGGGUGGUAAAUUUCAUCUAAAGCUAAAUAUUGGCGAGAGACCGAUAGCGAACAAGUACCGUGAGGGAAAGAUGAAAAGAACUUUGAAAAGAGAGUUAAACAGUACGUGAAAUUGUCAAAAGGGAAGCAGUUUGACACCAGUGUUGUUUUUCUGAAAAUCAAUUAAAGAACUGUUUAUGCUAAGUUGUCUAGACUUUAUCAGCUAACUGUUUAGUUUUGAGCUUUUCUUUAAUGCACUUUUCAGUUAACAAGUCAACAUCAAUUUCUUUUGCUGUAAAAAAGCUUGAGGAAGGUGGCUUGAGAUUCGUCUUAAGUGUUUAUAGCCUCUUGCCUAUGCAGUCGGAGAGAUUGAGGUCUGCAGCGUAGAUCCUUCGGGGCUAAAUGCAUUUGUGCUAAGUUAUAGCAUUUUAUAGACAACUUGUUGACUAUGAUUUGUCUUGUAGCUUACUCGCUUAUGUUAUUUUACCUACGCUUAGGAUGUUGAGCGCAUGUCUCUCUCU
RNAcentral lists this ribosomal RNA (775 nucleotides) under uncultured Neocallimastigales. RNAcentral's name for it is "partial large subunit ribosomal RNA". It matches the Rfam family "Eukaryotic large subunit ribosomal RNA", at positions 23 to 645 of the family's 3401-position model. Lineage: Eukaryota; Fungi; Neocallimastigomycota; Neocallimastigomycetes; Neocallimastigales. The record is from RNAcentral.